UACGUAGGGGGCAAGCGUUGUUCGGAAUUACUGGGCGUAAAGGGCGCGUAGGCGGCACGGCAAGUCGGGAGUGAAAGGCCUGGGCUCAACCGAGGAACUGCUUUCGAGACUGCCGAGCUAGAGUGCGGAAGGGGCAACUGGAAUUCCCAGUGUAGCGGUGAAAUGCGUAGAUAUUGGGAAGAACACCUGAGGCGAAGGCGGGUUGCUGGGCCGACACUGACGCUGAGGCGCGAAAGCUAGGGGAGCAAACAGG
This 253-nucleotide ribosomal RNA is filed under the name uncultured bacterium. RNAcentral's name for it is "partial 16S ribosomal RNA". It matches the Rfam family "Bacterial small subunit ribosomal RNA", at positions 524 to 776 of the family's 1533-position model. The record is from RNAcentral.